GACGAACGCUGGCGGCGUGCUUAACACAUGCAAGUCGAACGGAAAGGCCCAGCUUGCUGGGUGCUCGAGUGGCGAACGGGUGAGUAACACGUGGGUGAUCUGCCUCUAACUUCGGGAUAAGCUUGGGAAACUGGGUCUAAUACCGGAUAGGACAAUCGUUUAGUGUCGGUUGUGGAAAGUUUUUUCGGUUAGGGAUGAGCCCGCGGCCUAUCAGCUUGUUGGUGGGGUAAUGGCCUACCAAGGCGUCGACGGGUAGCCGGCCUGAGAGGGUGGACGGCCACAUUGGGACUGAGAUACGGCCCAGACUCCUACGGGAGGCAGCAGUGGGGAAUAUUGCACAAUGGGCGCAAGCCUGAUGCAGCGACGCCGCGUGGGGGAUGACGGCCUUCGGGUUGUAAACCUCUUUCGACAGGGACGAAGCUUUGGUGACGGUACCUGUAGAAGAAGCACCGGCUAACUACGUG
This 464-nucleotide ribosomal RNA is filed under the name uncultured bacterium. RNAcentral's name for it is "partial 16S ribosomal RNA". It matches the Rfam family "Bacterial small subunit ribosomal RNA", at positions 28 to 507 of the family's 1533-position model. The record is from RNAcentral.